AUACGGAGGGAGCAAGCGUUAUUCGGAAUCACUGGGCGUAAAGGACGCGUAGGCGGGUUUGUAAGUCAGGUGUGAAAUCCUACAGCUCAACUGUAGAACUGCACUUGAAACUACAGACCUAGAGUAUGGAAGGGGCAGAUGGAAUUAGUGGUAUAGGGGUAAAAUCCGUAGAUAUCACUAGGAAUACCGAAAGCGAAGGCGAUCUGCUGGGACAUUACUGACGCUGAGGCGUGAAAGCGUGGGGAGCAAACAGGAUUAGAAACCCUGGUAGUCC
RNAcentral lists this ribosomal RNA (274 nucleotides) under uncultured bacterium. Its description in RNAcentral is "partial 16S ribosomal RNA". It matches the Rfam family "Bacterial small subunit ribosomal RNA", at positions 523 to 796 of the family's 1533-position model. The record is from RNAcentral.